AAUUCAUGAAUUCCCAUAGCUUACCUGAAGAAACUAGUGUUGCAGAUGGACACAUUCUCUAUCCCUUUUUAUUGUAUGUCUUUUCUUUUCCAGAGUUUUACAUGCAAUUGGCCCAAAUGGUUCUGGCAAAUCAAAUGUCAUUGAUUCAAUGCUGUUUGUGUUUGGCUAUCGUGCUAGCAAGAUUCGCUCAAAAAAAAUUUCCGUCUUACUUCACAAGUCUGAAAAAACAUCGCGACAUUAAAAGCUGCACGGUGCAAGUCCACUUCCAGCUGAUUAUGACAAGGAUGGGUGAGGAGUAUGAGGUCGUGCCAAACUCAAAAGUUGUAUUGGCAGGACAGCAUUUGCUGACAACUCUUCUUUUAUACGCUCAAUGAUAAGAGGGUGCAAUUCAAAGAGGUAGCCAAAGUGUUGGCUCGUCAUGGCAUUGAUCUGAUUCACAACAGAUUCUUGAUUUCUACAGGGUGAAGUUGAGCAAAUAGCCAUGAUGAAACCAAAGGGCCUAACACCACAUGAAACAGGCAUGCUGGAGUACUUGGAAGACAUCAUUGGAACUACCCGUUACAAAACUCCAAUCCAAAAACUUGAGGAACAAGCAGAAAUUCUCAAUACAGAAAAAAACAGAGAAACAAAAUCGCCUUCAACUUGUUGAGAAAGAACGUGAUGCCUUAGAAGAGCCUAUGAGAGAGGCUAUCAAGUUCCUUGAGACAGAAAAUGAAGUUAAUCUUCUUCGUAACAAGCAUUGGCAAAAAUAUGUUUAUCUACACAAGAAGGAUAUUGAGAAGCUGGAGGCAGAAAAAGCAGAAAUUGAGGAAGGCAUGUCUGAAUUGAAAAAGAAGUUGAAAGAUCUAGAAGACAGCACAAAGGAAACUACAGAUUCAAUUAAGGCCAAAGAAAAGGAACUAGCGGCAAUGAGGGAGCAGUUCGAGGCAAAAAGACCAAAAAUUCAAGCAAUACUCACUCCAGGACACCACAAUUGCUGCCGACCUGAAAGAAACCAACAAAAAGCGGAAAAAACUGAUGGAAGACAAAAAGAAGGAAGAGAAUAAACUGGCUGAGUUAAAGGCGUUGCCAGAAAAAAUGCAAAAGAAAUUGCAGAAUUGCAAGCUCUAGCAACACGUUUGGAAGCAGACCGAGUGAAAGAAGAGGCACAGAGGGACAAAAUCUUGGCCUCUUUACGAACGGACACAAAGAGCCUUCAGGAUGAUAAAGACAAGCUCCAAGCUAAGCAGAUUGAUCUGAAGAAGACGGCCGAUGAUGCCAAAGCAAAGGUCAGUGUGACUUUCUUAGUACAAUUCCUUUCUUAAAUAACAGUAUGUAUGAUCUUGUGAGGAAUGUUGCCCAAAAAGGUAUUGUCACAAGGUUUUUUUAAGG
This 1371-nucleotide long non-coding RNA is filed under the name Bemisia tabaci. Its description in RNAcentral is "lncRNA ENSSWEETPG005421". The record is from RNAcentral. Lineage: Eukaryota; Metazoa; Arthropoda; Insecta; Hemiptera; Aleyrodidae.